Molecule: ribosomal RNA, 378 nt
Filed under: Escherichia coli O157:H7
Lineage: Bacteria; Pseudomonadati; Pseudomonadota; Gammaproteobacteria; Enterobacterales; Enterobacteriaceae
Description: bacterial SSU rRNA
Rfam family: Bacterial small subunit ribosomal RNA
Source: RNAcentral
AACCUGGGAACUGCAUCUGAUACUGGCAAGCUUGAGUCUCGUAGAGGGGGGUAGAAUUCCAGGUGUAGCGGUGAAAUGCGUAGAGAUCUGGAGGAAUACCGGUGGCGAAGGCGGCCCCCUGGACGAAGACUGACGCUCAGGUGCGAAAGCGUGGGGAGCAAACAGGAUUAGAUACCCUGGUAGUCCACGCCGUAAACGAUGUCGACUUGGAGGUUGUGCCCUUGAGGCGUGGCUUCCGGAGCUAACGCGUUAAGUCGACCGCCUGGGGAGUACGGCCGCAAGGUUAAAACUCAAAUGAAUUGACGGGGGCCCGCACAAGCGGUGGAGCAUGUGGUUUAAUUCGAUGCAACGCGAAGAACCUUACCUGGUCUUGACAUC